RNAcentral lists this ribosomal RNA (207 nucleotides) under uncultured bacterium. Its description in RNAcentral is "partial 16S ribosomal RNA". It matches the Rfam family "Bacterial small subunit ribosomal RNA", at positions 568 to 774 of the family's 1533-position model. The record is from RNAcentral.
UAGGUAGGUGGUCUCAUUUGUCUGGGGUGAAAGCCUUGAGCUUAACUCAAGAAGUGCCCCAGAAACGGUGAGACUGGAGUCCUGGAGAGGGUCGUGGAAUUCCCGGUGUAGCGGUGAAAUGCGUAGAGAUCGGGAGGAACACCAGAGGCGAAAGCGGCGACCUGGACAGGUACUGACACUCAACUACGAAAGCGUGGGGAGCAAACA